This 253-nucleotide ribosomal RNA is filed under the name uncultured Gemmata sp. Its description in RNAcentral is "partial 16S ribosomal RNA". It matches the Rfam family "Bacterial small subunit ribosomal RNA", at positions 524 to 776 of the family's 1533-position model. The record is from RNAcentral. Lineage: Bacteria; Pseudomonadati; Planctomycetota; Planctomycetia; Gemmatales; Gemmataceae.
GACGAACCGUGCGAACGUUGUUCGGAAUCACUGGGCUUAAAGGGAGCGUAGGCGGGCUAUCAAGUCUGGGGUGAAAUGCCGCGGCUCAACCGUGGAACUGCCUUAGAUACUGACGGCCUCGAGGAAGAUAGGGGCAUGCGGAACUGUGAGUGGAGCGGUGAAAUGCGUUGAUAUUCACAGGAACUCCGGUGGCGAAAGCGGCGUGCUGGAUCUUUUCUGACGCUGAGGCUCGAAAGCUAGGGGAGCAAACGGG